Molecule: transfer RNA, 72 nt
Organism: Ovis aries (sheep)
Lineage: Eukaryota; Metazoa; Chordata; Mammalia; Artiodactyla; Bovidae
Rfam family: tRNA
About the family: Transfer RNA (tRNA) molecules are approximately 80 nucleotides in length. Their secondary structure includes four short double-helical elements and three loops (D, anti-codon, and T loops).
Source: Rfam
UCCCUGGUGGCUUAGAUGGUAAAGCAUAUGUCUGCAAUGCAGGAGACCUGGGUUUGAUCCCUGGGUUGGGAA